UACGUAGGAUGCGAGCGUUGUCCGGAUUCACUGGGUGUAAAGGGAGCGCAGGCGGGCUUUCAAGUCAGUGGUGAAAUCUCACAGCUCAACUGUGAAAUUGCCGCUGAUACUGUAGGCCUUGAGUACGGAAAAGGGUGAUAGAAUUCAUGGUGUAGCGGUGAAAUGCGUAGAUAUCAUGAAGAAUACCAGUUGCGAAGGCGGUCACCUGGUCCGUUACUGACGCUCAUGCUCGAAAGUGUGGGGAGCAAAC
Molecule: ribosomal RNA, 250 nt
Filed under: uncultured bacterium
Lineage: Bacteria
Description: partial 16S ribosomal RNA
Rfam family: Bacterial small subunit ribosomal RNA
Source: RNAcentral